Molecule: ribosomal RNA, 492 nt
Filed under: uncultured bacterium
Lineage: Bacteria
Description: partial 16S ribosomal RNA
Rfam family: Bacterial small subunit ribosomal RNA
Source: RNAcentral
AGUGAACGCUGGCGGCAGGCCUUACACAUGCAAGUCGAACGGCAACACAUUAAGCUCUCGCUCUUCCGGGUGGCGAGUGGCGUACCGGUGCGUAAUAAAUCGGGAUCUAUAUCUUCGUGGGGGAUCACGUAGUGCAACUUACGCCAAUACCGCAUACGCCCUGCGUGUCAAAGCAUGGGGUCUUCGGACCUUGCGCGAUUGAAUUAGCCGAUUUCUGAUUAGGUAGUUGGCGGGGUAAAGGCCCACCAAGUCGACGAUCCGUAGCUGGUCUGAGAGGAUGAUCAGCCACACUGGAACUGAGACACGGCCCAGACUCCUACGGGAGGCAGCAGUGGGGAAUAUUGGACAAUGGGCGCAAGCCUGAUCCAGCCAUGCCGCGUGGGGGAAGAAGGCCUUCGGGUUGUAAAGCCCUUUUGUUGGGAAAGAAAAGCAGCAGGUUAAUACCCCGCAGUUAUGACGGUACCCAAAGAAUAAGCACCGGCUAACUUCGUG